RNAcentral lists this ribosomal RNA (214 nucleotides) under Rhizophagus irregularis. Lineage: Eukaryota; Fungi; Glomeromycota; Glomeromycetes; Glomerales; Glomeraceae. The record is from RNAcentral.
CAGUCGUACCUGCGGAUAAUCAGCCUUUCGGGUGCGAUUCUGUGAGGCGUGAGGAGCUUAACCGCCUUCACGUUUUGCAUACUCGUGCACAUUUGGUGUACUUGCUCGUGUGGUUGGUUAACAUCAAUUUCGGACGCCAAUAAAAUGGCUGGAGGAAUGUAGCUUCGAUCUCGUAUUGAAGUGUUAUAGCCUUUGGAGAUGUGGAUGAUCGAGG